AUAAAGUUUUAUUCUUGCUUAUUUACUUAUUUUAAUUUGAUGUUAAAUGUAAAGUUUUAUAAUUUAAUAAUUAAUCUCUUGAUGAUUUAGUUUAUAUAUUAGGACAGUAAUAAAUAUUAAACAAUGAAGGGGACUUUGAUUUAGUUAUUUUUUAUAAUGUUGAUUAAAUAUGUGCCAGCAAUCGCGGUUAUACAUGGGACAUAAAUGAGUAUAUUUAGUUAAAUAGUUAAUUUGUUUUAUUUAAUUUAAUUUGAUGAUUUUUGGGUAAAAUUUAAAUUUUUGUUUUAUUUUAAUUUUAUAUAUAAUGAGGCUGUGAAAUCUAAAUUAUUUAAACUAGGAUUAGAUACCCUAUUAUUUUGGAUUUAAAAUUUUGAACUUGAGUAGUAUUAGGUAUGGUCUUGAAACUUAAAGAAUUUGGCGGUAUUUUAGUCUAGUUAGAGGAAUCUGUUCCAUUAUCGAUAAUCCACGUUGAACCUUACUUAGUAUAAUUUAAUAUGUAUACCGCCGUUUAUUUAGUGAAAAUCUUUUUAGAGAUAAUUUUCUUAAAAUUUUAAUUAAUUUUAUUACAGGUCAAGGUGCAGUUUAUUAUUAAGUGGUGAUGGAUUACAUUAUUUAUAAGGUAGACGAAUUAAGGUUUGAAAUUGUUUUAUGAAGGUGGAUUUAAUAGUAAUUAACAAUAAGAAUUAUUUUUGUGAUUAUGGCUCUAAAAUGUGUACACAUCGCCCGUCACUCUCGUUAUUAAGAUGAGAUAAGUCGUAACAAAGUAGGUGUACCGGAAGGUGUAGCUAGAUUGAU
RNAcentral lists this non-coding RNA (795 nucleotides) under Macropanesthia sp. B115. RNAcentral describes it as "12S ribosomal RNA". The stretch from base 379 to 788 matches the Rfam family "Microsporidia small subunit ribosomal RNA", at positions 752 to 1303 of the family's 1311-position model. The record is from RNAcentral. Lineage: Eukaryota; Metazoa; Arthropoda; Insecta; Blattodea; Blaberidae.